This 100-nucleotide transfer RNA is filed under the name Actinoplanes utahensis. RNAcentral describes it as "tRNA-Ala". The record is from RNAcentral. Lineage: Bacteria; Bacillati; Actinomycetota; Actinomycetes; Micromonosporales; Micromonosporaceae.
GCGGCCGGCGGGUCGCCGGUUCUGCCAUCCAGCGUCGGCGAUGCGGGCGGCGGGCGCGUCGGACCGGGGACGCAUCUGUUCGGCGCAGAUCGGGCCGUGC